GGAGAGGUGGCAGAGUGGUUGAAUGUGGCGGUCUCGAAAACCGUUGUGCGCGCAAGUGCACCGAGGGUUCGAAUCCCUCCCUCUCCGCAA
RNAcentral lists this transfer RNA (90 nucleotides) under Chlorobium phaeovibrioides. RNAcentral describes it as "tRNA-Ser". It matches the Rfam family "tRNA". Rfam says of the family: Transfer RNA (tRNA) molecules are approximately 80 nucleotides in length. Their secondary structure includes four short double-helical elements and three loops (D, anti-codon, and T loops). Lineage: Bacteria; Pseudomonadati; Chlorobiota; Chlorobiia; Chlorobiales; Chlorobiaceae. The record is from RNAcentral.